CCAUAUCAGUAUCAUUUCAUAUUCUCAACAUGCUUAGAUAGAGAAGAUUAAGCCUAUAACAUCAAGUAGAUGAUUUAAUUAAGCUACAACAUGUAUUAUAAUCAACUGAAAUAUGCAAAGUCAUUAGAUGACCCUCACUCUCUUCCCUCAAUUUCAGCAAUCACCUCUGUUUUGAGAUAUUUCUAACUUUGUCAACAUUCUUCAUAAAGGACCCUAGUUGAUUGAAUGGCAACAAAGUAUCUUGGAAAAAAGAAACUAAAUAUGAAAUAUCAACAUUCUUUAUAAAAACAUAGACAUAUACACAUGAUAAAGGACACAAUGUUAUCACUCUUCAAAACAUUAUCCACUCACAUGCGAAAAAAACUUCUAACAAAUCAAAACAAGUUCCAAACUUCAUUGCUUAAGAGGACCUCUUCAAUAUGAGAACACAUUCCCAUCCUCUUUUCUUCUUCAAUCUGAAUCAUGAGAAAGAUACAUCAGCAUGUUUUUGUCAUCUUCAUCAUCAACUCAAAACUCUGAAAGCUUGAAACCCGAUGAUCGGCCAACAAAACACACAUAACACCGGCUGUGAAAUAACCAAAAAUGAAUAAAAAUCGGAUAAGAUGCAUGUAGCAAAGAAUAGUUAGUGUAAUUACAAGUUGUAUCUUAUCAUAUAAAAGCUAAGUUUGGAAAGUUGUGACCAAUAGCAAAUUCAAGGGAUGAAAGGCAGUACCUUAUCCAAAUCCACAUCUUUAGGACUUAGCACUGCAGACAACUUGAAGGAUGUUGUUUCCAUAUUCUUCUUGCUCCUCUCGUAUCAAUUCAACCGACUCCAUUAGAGACUCUUUCACUUUUCCAGUAACCUCAAUGAGUUCAAGAGUUGAAAUGUCUCCAAUAUCUUUGGAAUCCCAUUGAGAUCCCAACAAGAACGAAGCAGUAGCCGUUUGAGUUUGGGGAAAUGGCUACUUUCAGUUAUCCAAUUCUCCAACCUUGAACCUUCAAUUAGAAGAACUUCCAACGCUGGGAAUGCUUCUUCGCUUGUUUCCCAUGUAUCGC
This 1035-nucleotide long non-coding RNA is filed under the name Salvia miltiorrhiza (redroot sage). RNAcentral describes it as "long non-coding RNA (SMIL_LNC008121)". The record is from RNAcentral. Lineage: Eukaryota; Viridiplantae; Streptophyta; Magnoliopsida; Lamiales; Lamiaceae.